AUUGAACGCUGGCGGCAGGCCUAACACAUGCAAGUCGAGCGGAGCGGCGGACGGGUGAGUAAUGCCUAGGAAUCUGCCUGGUAGUGGGGGAUAACGUCCGGAAACGGGCGCUAAUACCGCAUACUAUCAGAUGAGCCUAGGUCGGAUUAGCUAGUUGGUGGAGUAAAGGCUUACCAAGGCGACGAUCCGUAACUGGUCUGAGAGGAUGAUCAGUCAAACUGAAACUGAGAAACGGUCCAGACUCCUACGGGAGGCAGCAGUGGAGAAGAUUGGACAAUGGGCGAAAGCCUGAUCAAGCCAUGCAGCGUGAGUGAAGAAGGUCUUCAGGUUGUAAAGCACUUUAAGUUGGGAAGCGGUACCAACAGAAUAAGCACCGGCUAACUUCGUGCCAGCAGCCGCGGUAAUAC
Molecule: ribosomal RNA, 407 nt
Filed under: uncultured bacterium
Lineage: Bacteria
Description: partial 16S ribosomal RNA
Rfam family: Bacterial small subunit ribosomal RNA
Source: RNAcentral